CACGGAGGGAGCAAGCGUUGUCCGGAUUUACUGGGCGUGAAGCGCGCGUAGGCGGUCCAUUAAGUCGGCUGUGAAAGCGCUGGGCUCAACCCAGCAAGGUCAGUCGAUACUGGUGGACUCGAGUCCGGGAGAGGGAAGCGGAAUUGCUGGUGUAGCGGUGGAAUGCGUAGAUAUCAGCAAGAACACCGGUGGCGAAGGCGGCUUCCUGGACCGGCACUGACGCUGAGGCGCGAAAGCUAGGGGAGCGAACCGGAUUAGAUACCCCCGUA
RNAcentral lists this ribosomal RNA (269 nucleotides) under uncultured prokaryote. Its description in RNAcentral is "partial 16S ribosomal RNA". It matches the Rfam family "Bacterial small subunit ribosomal RNA", at positions 524 to 792 of the family's 1533-position model. The record is from RNAcentral.